Molecule: ribosomal RNA, 468 nt
Filed under: uncultured bacterium
Lineage: Bacteria
Description: partial 16S ribosomal RNA
Rfam family: Bacterial small subunit ribosomal RNA
Source: RNAcentral
GACGAACGCUGGCGGCGUGCUUAACACAUGCAAGUCGAACGGAAAGGCCCUGCUUUUGUGGGGUGCUCGAGUGGCGAACGGGUGAGUAACACGUGAGUAACCUGCCCUUGACUUUGGGAUAACUUCAGGAAACUGGGGCUAAUACCGGAUAGGAGCUCCUGCUGCAUGGUGGGGGUUGGAAAGUUUCGGCGGUUGGGGAUGGACUCGCGGCUUAUCAGCUUGUUGGUGGGGUAGUGGCUUACCAAGGCUUUGACGGGUAGCCGGCCUGGGAGGGUGACCGGCCACAUUGGGACUGAGAUACGGCCCAGACUCCUACGGGAGGCAGCAGUGGGGAAUAUUGCACAAUGGGCGGAAGCCUGAUGCAGCAACGCCGCGUGCGGGAUGACGGCCUUCGGGUUGUAAACCGCUUUCGCCUGUGACGAAGCGUGAGUGACGGUAAUGGGUAAAGAAGCACCGACUAACUACGUG